RNAcentral lists this ribosomal RNA (1688 nucleotides) under Zschokkella sp. n. MFS-2019. RNAcentral describes it as "SSU rRNA". It matches the Rfam family "Eukaryotic small subunit ribosomal RNA", at positions 27 to 1563 of the family's 1831-position model. The record is from RNAcentral. Lineage: Eukaryota; Metazoa; Cnidaria; Myxozoa; Bivalvulida; Myxidiidae.
AAUGGUCGUCCCUAUGAUUAAGCCAUGCAUGUCUAACUCAUACCUAGUAAAGUGAGACUGCGAAAGGCUCAGUACAUCAGUUAUAGUUUAUUCGAUUGUGAAAUCCACAUGGAUAACCGUGGAAAAUCUAGAGCUAAUACAUGCGAAAAAAGUCAGAUUCCCCAGAAUUUAUGAUGCAUUUAUUAGAUAACCAAUUGUUGAAUACUUUUCGGAUUAUCAUUAAGGUGAGUCUGGAUAACUGUGCCGAUCGUAUGGCCUUGAGCCGGCGACAUUUCGAUUAAAUUUCUGCCCUAUCAACUUGUUGGUAAGGUAGUGGCUUACCAAGGUGAUAACGGGUAACGGGGAAUCAGGGUUCGAUUCCGGAGAGGGAGCCUGAGAAACGGCUACCACAUCCAAGGAAGGCAGCAGGCGCGCAAAUUACCCAAUCCAGACACUGGGAGGUGGUGACGAGAAAUACCAGGUCGGUCCUAAAAGGAUUCGACACUGGAAUGAGAUUAACUUUAAAAAUUAAUCGAGUAACAACUGGAGGGCAAGUCUGGUGCCAGCAGCCGCGGUAAUUCCAGCUCCAGUAGUAUAUCCUAAAGUUGCUGCGUUUAAAACGCUCGUAGUUGGACAAGAGAACUUUUUCAGUGCGGAUGGGAAAGUACCAUGAUAUCUAGUAUAGUAUUCUUUUCGGGAUAAUCUCAAUACUAUUUAUUAUUAACUUUGUCAAUCAUGCUGCUAAUUGGUUCAUAAUGUUUCGUGAGAAUGGUACAUGACCUUUAAUGUGUUGUGUAUUAUAUCUUACGUAGUGAUGCCUUGAAUAAAUCAGAGUGCUCAAAGCAAGCUAAUUAUUGCUUGAAUGUUAAUAGCCAUGGAACCGAAAUGUUUUGUGUUAAAGUAGAGUUACAUACUGAAACCUUGUUGCCAAUAUGGGAUCUACCUUAUUACAGAACAUUGGAUAUCCGCGCUACCAAUGAAGAUUAAGAGGGGCAUUUGGGGGCAUUAGUAUUUGGCCGCGAGAGGUGAAAUUCUUGGACCGGCCAAGGACUAACAAGUGCGAAAGCAUUUGCCAAGUAUGUUCCCAUUAAUCAAGAACGAAAGUGAGAGGUUCGAAGACGAUCAGAUACCGUCCUAGUUCUCACCGUAAACGAUGCCAACCCGGGAUCAGUUCGGAUGUAAUUUGUAUGGAUCCAGGUUGGUCCCCCUGGGAAACCUUGAGUUUUUAGGUUACGGGGGGAGUAUGGUUGCAAGGCUGAAACUUAAAGGAAUUGACGGAAGGGCACCACCAGGAGUGGAGCCUGCGGCUUAAUUUGACUCAACACGGGAAAACUCACCUGGUCCGGACAUCGAUAGGAUUGACAGACUAAUAGAUCUUUCAUGAUACGGUGGGUGGUGGUGCAUGGCCGUUCUUAGUUCGUGGAGUGAUCUGUCAGGUUUAUUCCGGUAACGAACGAGACCAUAGUCUCCAUUUUGGGUAAAUGAAUAAUAGCAAUUUAUGCUGCUACAGUAGUAAUAUUGGGAGUUGUUGUAUUUUGCUAAAUUUGUCUUACGUGCAGAAAUGCGCGACCUAUGGAGAGACAGCCGGAUUUUAAGCCGGAGGAAGCGUGGCAAUAACAGGUCUGUGAUGCCCUCGAUGUUCAGGCCGCACGCGCGCCAUGAUGACACACAGUCCUGGACUGAAAGUCCUGGUAAAUCCUGGAAAUUAC